Molecule: ribosomal RNA, 331 nt
Filed under: uncultured bacterium
Lineage: Bacteria
Description: bacterial SSU rRNA
Rfam family: Bacterial small subunit ribosomal RNA
Source: RNAcentral
GAGUUUGAUCCUGGCUCAGGAUGAACGCUGGCGGCGUGCUUAACACAUGCAAGUCGAGCGAAGCACUUGAAUUUGAUUCUUCGGAUGAUGAUUCAUUUGACUGAGCGGCGGACGGGUGAGUAACGCGUGGGUAACCUGCCUCAUACAGGGGGAUAACAGUUAGAAAUGACUGCUAAUACCGCAUAAGACCACGGUGCCGCAUGGCACAGUGGUAAAAACUCCGGUGGUAUGAGAUGGACCCGGUCUGAUUAGCUAGUGGUGGGUAACGCUACCAAGGCGACGAUCAGUAGCCGACCUGAGAGGGUACCGGCACAUUGGGACUGAGACACGG